This 1046-nucleotide long non-coding RNA is filed under the name Homo sapiens (human). Its description in RNAcentral is "HSALNT0335822". Lineage: Eukaryota; Metazoa; Chordata; Mammalia; Primates; Hominidae. The record is from RNAcentral.
GCGCGCGUGACCAAAAACGGCUCUCAGCGGGUCCCAGCUGACGGAAGGUGGGGGAGGAGUGCGAGGGUCUCUGAGACAGGUUGGGAGCCAGCCCCACCUCCAUUUCCAAAGCGGGGGUCCAGGCACAGGAACAGCCAAACGCCCGAACCAGCGGGGUUACCUUUGCCACUUCAUCCAAUCCGAGCAUCGGCUGGAAACUGGGAAGUUUGUCAGACAAAGCUCUUCAGGUUACUGGCAAUUUAUGUGCUGGGAGGUGGAUUUGUGGGCAGAGCUCCGGCUGACCUGGUGUUGUCCUGCUAUGGCUACAGACUUCUGACUAUGCUUAUCAGAAAAACUUUCAUUUGGUUCAAGGAUUUUUGCUGACAAGUUUAUUUAAUCCCUGAACCUGGAUCCAAGGCAUCUCCCUGUAGAAAACAUCAGACCGGGGCAGAGAUUGACAAAGCAACCCAAAGCAGCAGCUGCCAACGGCCGCUGUGCCCACCUCAUCAGCAGCUAAAGAGUAUAAUUUUAAAAAAAGUCACAGAAGAAUGUGGAGACACUUAGCAAAACGGACUCUCAUAAGAGUGUUCGAUGGUGCUGCUACUAAUGAAAGAUUUGAGGAAACUCCUAAGGUCCCUCCAGUGUACAACAAUUUGGAGGCUGAUGGACUACAUCCAUGGGGUACUUUGUCCUCUGGCUUCCAAUUAGAUUCAGACAACAGGAAGCAUCAACAGCUAAUGGGAGACGAAGAGGAAAAAUUGGGGUACCUAUUCCCCUAGAUUACUCCCUGCUGAUUGCUGCAGAGGGGCUUCAUCCUUGCCCUGGUUUCUGGAAAACACUCUUUCAUUGCCCAUGCAGGCCUAGGAGUGAUGAUGCCUCACUGGAUGGCAAAGUCUCUUAUUGGUUUCCCUAAAUCUUACUCACAACUUGUAGAUACUCCCUCUAUUAAAUCCUUUUCAGUUACCCAGUUUGAGUGUGCAGUCUCUUUCCUGAUAGACUUUUACUGAUAUAGUGUCCUUCUUGACCUUAGUUACAAAGUCAUUUUCAAAUCAAGUUCAUGUCUAAAU